AGUGAGCGCUGGCGGUAGGCCUAACACAUGCAAGUCGAACGGCAGCACAGGAGAGCUUGCUCUCUGGGUGGCGAGUGGCGGACGGGUGAGGAAUACAUCGGAAUCUACUCUGUCGUGGGGGAUAACGUAGGGAAACUUACACUAAUACCGCAUACGACCUACGGGUGAAAGCAGGGGAUCUUCGGACCUUGCGCGAUUGAAUGAGCCGAUGUCGGAUUAGCUAGUUGGCGGGGUAAAGGCCCACCAAGGCGACGAUCCGUAGCUGGUCUGAGAGGAUGAUCAGCCACACUGGAACUGAGACACGGUCCAGACUCCUACGGGAGGCAGCAGUGGGGAAUAUUGGACAAUGGGCGCAAGCCUGAUCCAGCCAUACCGCGUGGGUGAAGAAGGCCUUCGGGUUGUAAAGCCCUUUUGUUGGGAAAGAAAUCCAGCUGGCUAAUACCCGGUUGGGAUGACGGUACCCAAAGAAUAAGCACCGGCUAACUUCGUGCCAGCCGCCGCCGUAA
Molecule: ribosomal RNA, 506 nt
Filed under: uncultured bacterium
Lineage: Bacteria
Description: partial 16S ribosomal RNA
Rfam family: Bacterial small subunit ribosomal RNA
Source: RNAcentral